UACGGAGAGUGCGAACGUUGUUCGGAUUCACUGGGCGUAAAGGGCACGUAGGCGGCUCGGCAAAUCGGUCGUGGAAUCCCGGCGCUUACCGUCGGAACGGCGGCCGAAAAUACCGAGCUAGAGGGCGUGAGGGGUCACUGGAGCUCCUGGUGAAGCGGUGAAAUGCGUAGAUAUCAGGAGGAACGCCGGAGGCGAAAGCGAGUGACUGGCGCGUUCCUGACGCUGAGGUGCGAAAGCUAGGGGAGCAAACAGG
RNAcentral lists this ribosomal RNA (253 nucleotides) under uncultured bacterium. RNAcentral's name for it is "partial 16S ribosomal RNA". It matches the Rfam family "Bacterial small subunit ribosomal RNA", at positions 524 to 776 of the family's 1533-position model. The record is from RNAcentral.